UAGGGAAUCUUCCACAAUGGACGAAAGUCUGAUGGAGCAACGCCGCGUGAGUGAAGAAGGAUUUCGGUUCGUAAAACUCUGUUGUAAGGGAAGAACAAGUACAGUAGUAACUGGCUGUACCUUGACGGUACCUUAUUAGAAAGCCACGGCUAACUACGUGCCAGCAGCCGCGGUAAUACGUAGGUGGCAAGCGUUGGCCGGAAUUAUUGGGCGUAAAGCGCGCGCAGGCGGUCCUUUAAGUCUGAUGUGAAAGCCCACGGCUCAAUCGUGGAGAGUCAUUGAGAACUGGGGGACUGGAGUGAAGAAGAGGAAAGUGGAAUUACAAGUGUAGCGGUGAAAUGCGUAGAGAUUUGGAGGAACACCAGUGGCGAAGGAGGGUUUCUGGUCUGUAACUGACGCUGAGGCGCGAAAGCGUGGGGAGCAAACAGG
This 429-nucleotide ribosomal RNA is filed under the name bacterium. Its description in RNAcentral is "partial 16S ribosomal RNA". It matches the Rfam family "Bacterial small subunit ribosomal RNA", at positions 355 to 776 of the family's 1533-position model. The record is from RNAcentral.